This 460-nucleotide ribosomal RNA is filed under the name uncultured bacterium. RNAcentral describes it as "partial 16S ribosomal RNA". It matches the Rfam family "Bacterial small subunit ribosomal RNA", at positions 338 to 795 of the family's 1533-position model. The record is from RNAcentral.
CCUACGGGAGGCAGCAGUGAGGAAUAUUUGUCAAUGGGCGCGAGCCUGAACCAGCCAAGUCGCGUGAGGGAGGACGGCCCUACGGGUUGUAAACCUCUUUUGCCGGGGAGCAACGGGCGCCACGUGUGGCGUCACUGAGAGUACCCGGAGAACAAGCAUCGGCUAACUCCGUACCAGCCGCCGCGGUAAUACGGAGGAUGCGAGCGUUAUCCGGAUUUAGUGGGUUUAAGUGGUGCGUAGGCGGAUCGUUAAGUCAGUUGUAAAAUUGAGGGGCUCAAACACUUCCCGCCAUUGAAACUGGCGUUCUUGAGUGGAAGAGAAGUAUGUGGAAUGCGUGGUGUAGCGGUGAAAUGCAUAGAUAUCACGCAGAACCCCGAUUGCGAAGGCAGGAUGCCGGCUUCCGACUGACGCUGAAGCACGAAAGCGUGGGGAUCGAACAGGAUUAGAUACCCCAGUAGUC